UACGGAGGGUGCAAGCGUUAUCCGGAUUCACUGGGUUUAAAGGGUGCGUAGGCGGGCAGGUAAGUCAGUGGUGAAAUCUCCGGGCUUAACCCGGAAACUGCCGUUGAUACUAUCUGUCUUGAAUACCGUGGAGGUGAGCGGAAUAUGUCAUGUAGCGGUGAAAUGCUUAGAUAUGACAUAGAACACCAAUUGCGAAGGCAGCUCGCUACACGAAUAUUGACUCUGAGGCACGAAAGCGUGGGGAUCAAACAGG
This 253-nucleotide ribosomal RNA is filed under the name uncultured bacterium. RNAcentral describes it as "partial 16S ribosomal RNA". It matches the Rfam family "Bacterial small subunit ribosomal RNA", at positions 524 to 776 of the family's 1533-position model. The record is from RNAcentral.